AGCGUAGACGGUAAAGCAAGUCUGAAGUGAAAGCCCGGGGCUCAACCCCGGGACUGCUUUGGAAACUGUAUGGCUAGAGUGCUGGAGAGGCAAGCGGAAUUCCUAGUGUAGCGGUGAAAUGCGUAGAUAUUAGGAAGAACACCAGUGGCGAAGGCGGCUUGCUGGACAGUAACUGACGUUCAGGCUCGAAAGCGUGGGGAGCAAACA
Molecule: ribosomal RNA, 207 nt
Filed under: uncultured bacterium
Lineage: Bacteria
Description: partial 16S ribosomal RNA
Rfam family: Bacterial small subunit ribosomal RNA
Source: RNAcentral